This is a long non-coding RNA of Melospiza melodia melodia, 773 nucleotides long. RefSeq lists it as uncharacterized. The transcript has 6 exons. The record is from RefSeq and is a predicted model, not a curated record. NCBI's taxonomy places the organism in Eukaryota, Metazoa, Chordata, Aves, Passeriformes, Passerellidae.
GUGUGCCUGCCCCAGCUGCCCGGCUUCCCCCUGGAGCUUGGGGCCGGGGGAGAGCAGCAGAGCUGGGUGCUCUGCUCUGGCAUCGCAGGGACGGCCACAGCAGGUGUCCCUGCGGGCUGGCAAGAGCCCUUUGGUCAUGAGGACAGGGGCAGAGGGACCCCGCGUGUGUGCUGCAACUGUUAGUUGGCUCUUGCUGUAAUUGAUGGACACUGCCAGUUGCUUAGACAGAUGGGAAUUAAUACCGGUGUUCCCAUUAGAACUCACCAUCACAGUCACGCUGGCUUUGCACUGGCUUGAUGUGUGCAAGAGAGUGCGUGUGGAAGGAGCAAGUGUGAUUCCUGCCUGCAGUACUUGUCUUCCAGGGUGUUGGAGCCAUCCAUCCAACACAGAGCAGAUGAGCUGCUUGCCAGCAGCUUGCAGAACACAUAGCUUUGAGGUGGUGUAGAAAAUGCUUCUUUCCUGGAUGCUGAGAGAUCGUGGUGAAUGGGACUCUCAUCCCGGGAGGUGUUUGUGAGCUGUAUUUACAGUGCCUUGUGGCCCAGCUGUCUCCUCUGGUUCUCUGGCGACCUGACAGCCACGGUGGACCUGCCAGGUGACAACCAUGAGGCACAGCAGGAGGUGAAGGCUAAGCCUCAGAGAGCUCGUGCUUGAGGAAACUGCCAUCUCUAAAUCAUACCAACCUCCAUUCUCUUAAUUCCCCCAACUCCUCGUCCACCGUAGUAGGAAGCAUCCACCGUGGGCCACUUCUUGGAAGGCAAGGGCUCCUGUUCUUC